Molecule: ribosomal RNA, 293 nt
Filed under: uncultured bacterium
Lineage: Bacteria
Description: partial 16S ribosomal RNA
Rfam family: Bacterial small subunit ribosomal RNA
Source: RNAcentral
GGAUUAGAUACCCUGGUAGUCCACGCCGUAAACGAUGUCUACUAGUUGUCGGUUGUCUUGUACGACGGGUAACGCAGCUAACGCGAUAAGUAGACCGCCUGGGGAGUACGGCCGCAAGGUUAAAACUCAAAUGAAUUGACGGGGGCCCGCACAAGCGGUGGAGCAUGUGGUUUAAUUCGAUGCAACGCGAAGAACCUUACCUACACUUGACAUGCAGAGAACUUUCUAGAGAUAGAUUGGUGCCUUCGGGAACUCUGACACAGGUGCUGCAUGGCUGUCGUCAGCUCGUGUUG